This 595-nucleotide ribosomal RNA is filed under the name uncultured archaeon. Its description in RNAcentral is "bacterial SSU rRNA". It matches the Rfam family "Archaeal small subunit ribosomal RNA", at positions 231 to 853 of the family's 1478-position model. The record is from RNAcentral.
UAUAUAGGGCGAAUUGGGCCCGACGUCGCAUGCUCCCGGCCGCCAUGGCGGCCGCGGGAAUUCGAUUACGGGGUGCAGCAGGCGCGAAAACUUGGCAAUGCGAGCAAUCGUGACCAGGGAACUCCAAGCGGCUGGGGUAAGACCCAAUCUUUUCAGAACUCUUCAAAGGUUUUAGAAUAAGGGGUGGGUAAGGACGGUGCCAGCCGCCGCGGUAAUACCGGCGCCUCAAGUGGUAGUCGCUUUUAUUGGGCCUAAAACGUCCGUAGCCGGUUUGGUACAUUCGUGGGUAAAUCAACUCGCUCAACGAGUUGAAUUCUGCGAGGACGGCCAGACUUGGGACCGGGAGAGGUGUGGGGUACUCUCAGGGUAGGGGUAAAAUCCUGUCAUCCUGAGAGGACCACCUGUUGCGAAGGCGCCACACUAGAACGGAUCCGACGGUCAGGGACGAAGCCUAGGGGCACGAACCGGAUUAGAUACCCGGGUAGUCCUAGGUGUAAACGCUGUGGACUUGAUGUUGGAGGAGCUCCGAGCUCUUUCAGUGUCGAAGCGAAGGUGAUAAGUCCACUGCCUGGGAAGUACGGUCGCGCCUGCUGCA